UCCUACGGGAGGCAGCAGUAGGGAAUCUUCCGCAAUGGACGAAAGUCUGACGGAGCAACGCCGCGUGAGUGAUGAAGGCUUUCGGGUCGUAAAACUCUGUUGUUAGGGAAGAACAAGUGCUAGUUGAAUAAGCUGGCACCUUGACGGUACCUAACCAGAAAGCCACGGCUAACUACGUGCCAGCAGCCGCGGUAAUACGUAGGUGGCAAGCGUUAUCCGGAAUUAUUGGGCGUAAAGCGCAUGCAGGCGGCCUGUUAAGUCAGAUGUGAAAGCCCGGGGCUUAACCUCGGAAUUGCAUUUGAAACUGGCAGGCUAGAGUCUUGUAGAGGGGGGUAGAAUUUCAGGUGUAGCGGUGAAAUGCGUAGAGAUCUGAAGGAAUACCAGUGGCGAAGGCGGCCCCCUGGACAAAGACUGACGCUCAGAUGCGAAAGCGUGGGGAGCAAACAGGAUUAGAUACCCUGGUAGUCCACGCCGUAAACGAUGUCUACUUGGAGGUUGUGGCCUUGAGCCGUGGCUUUCGGAGCUAACGCGUUAAGUAGACCGCCUGGGGAGUACGGUCGCAAGAUUAAAACUCAAAUGAAUUGACGGA
RNAcentral lists this ribosomal RNA (589 nucleotides) under uncultured bacterium. RNAcentral's name for it is "bacterial SSU rRNA". It matches the Rfam family "Bacterial small subunit ribosomal RNA", at positions 337 to 917 of the family's 1533-position model. The record is from RNAcentral.